UCGGGAAUUUUGGGCAAUGGGCGAAAGCCUGACCCAGCAACGCCGCGUGAAGGAUGAAGUAUUUCGGUAUGUAAACUUCGUAAGAAUAGGAAGAAUAAAUGACGGUACUAUUUGUAAGGUCCGGCUAACUACGUGCCAGCAGCCGCGGUAAUACGUAGGGACCAAGCGUUGUUCGGAUUUACUGGGCGUAAAGGGCGCGUAGGCGGUGUGUCAAGUCACUUGUGAAAUCUCUGGGCUUAACCCAGAACGGCCAAGUGAUACUGUCGCGCUAGAGUGCAGAAGGGGCAAUCGGAAUUCUUGGUGUAGCGGUGAAAUGCGUAGAUAUCAAGAGGAACACCUGAGGUGAAGACGGGUUGCUGGGCUGACACUGACGCUGAGGCGCGAAAGCCAGGGGAGCAAACGGGAUUAGAUACCCCAGUAGUCCCUGAGCGGGCUGGCAAGGCGCAU
Molecule: ribosomal RNA, 447 nt
Filed under: uncultured bacterium
Lineage: Bacteria
Description: bacterial SSU rRNA
Rfam family: Bacterial small subunit ribosomal RNA
Source: RNAcentral